This 440-nucleotide ribosomal RNA is filed under the name uncultured bacterium. Its description in RNAcentral is "partial 16S ribosomal RNA". It matches the Rfam family "Bacterial small subunit ribosomal RNA", at positions 338 to 795 of the family's 1533-position model. The record is from RNAcentral.
CCUACGGGAGGCAGCAGUGGGGAAUAUUGGACAAUGGGGGAAACCCUUAUCCAGCGACGCCGCGUGAAGGAAGAAGGUUUUCGGAUUGUAAACCUCCGUUAGUGGGGACGAUAAUGACGGUACCCACGGAGGAAGCCACGGCUAACUAGGUGCAAGCAGCCGCGGUACUACGUAGGUGGCAGGCGUUGUCCGGAAUUACUGGGGGUAAAGGGAGCGUAGGCGGGAUGUCAAGUCAGAAGUGAAAAUUAUGGGCUCAACCCAUAACCUGCUUUUGAAACUGAUAUUCUUGAGUGAAGUAGAGGCAAGCGGAAUGCCUAGUGUAGCGGUGAAAUGCGUAGAUAUUAGGAGGAACACCGAUGGCGAAGGCGGCGUGCUGGGCUUUUACUGACGCUGAGGCUCGAAAGCGUGGGGAGCAAACAGGAUUAGAUACCCUAGUAGUC